GGAUUUGUCUUUGAAUCUCCGCCGGAUUAACGCCGUGAUCCGGCUGUAACAUCCGUUGAUCUACAAACAUCUGCAGCGGCGGUUCGAUCACCGCCGGUUCCUGUACCGGCUGAGCCACCUUCACUGGAGAUGGAGGAAUCGGAGCUGCUUUCUCCGAUCCAAACAAAAAAUCAGCGGCGGAAACAGAUUUCUCCGAUUCAGGUCGGCUAGGGAUAGGAUUAAGCGUAUCUCGAUCGGAUUUAGUGGAACCUUCGGAGCCGAAACCGCCGGAGAUGGGAGAAGAAGGGAAGAGAAACAAACGCAUCCGAGCUGGGUUAGAGGACAUACGAAGCAAUCGAUCGUACUCAUGCAUCAUGUGCUCCAGAUCUUCAUCGUUAGUCACCGAGAUCAACGCAUCUAAAUCCUCACCUGGAAGCUGAUACUUGAACGAUAUCUCACCAACUCCUCCUCCUCCCUCACCGCCACCGCCACCGCCACCGCCGUUGCAGACGGCGGAGAGUUUGGAGACCAAAGAGGGAAAUCUGAUGCCGCGAUCUACGGACAUGAUUUUGGUAUCUCCGUUAACAUAAGUAAGCUGGUUAUCAUGUGGACGCGGCUGGAUCUUUCCGCCGUAACUGCACAUGAGCUUCACCUUGUAGCUCUGCUGUUGUUGCUGCUGGUGGUCCUCCCAUGGCGGCGGGUUCUCAAACUCGACGUCGCGAGAUCUAGGCGACGAUUCAGCUGAAUCUGGAUACGAGUUGUACGAGAAUUUAUCCAUUUCUUUCUAAGAUAUUUUCGAAAUUUUAUCUUCGUCUUCGUUGCUUAAUUAAUCCAUGAAAAAAAAAA
Molecule: non-coding RNA, 825 nt
Organism: Camelina sativa (false flax)
Lineage: Eukaryota; Viridiplantae; Streptophyta; Magnoliopsida; Brassicales; Brassicaceae
Source: RefSeq, a predicted model, not a curated record